GUUUUCCUUCGAGACAUCCAAUAAAAUUGAAACGAUACAGAGAAGAUUAAUAUGACCCUGCCCAAUAACAACACACAAAUCAAGAAAUGGUAAAAAAAAAAU
Molecule: small nuclear RNA, 102 nt
Organism: Erigeron canadensis
Lineage: Eukaryota; Viridiplantae; Streptophyta; Magnoliopsida; Asterales; Asteraceae
Source: RefSeq, a predicted model, not a curated record